AUCCAGUUGAUAAGUCCCAAAUAGGACGGAACUCGUGUCCUGGAU
RNAcentral lists this non-coding RNA (45 nucleotides) under Schistosoma margrebowiei. The record is from RNAcentral. Lineage: Eukaryota; Metazoa; Platyhelminthes; Trematoda; Strigeidida; Schistosomatidae.